RNAcentral lists this ribosomal RNA (270 nucleotides) under uncultured archaeon. RNAcentral's name for it is "partial 16S ribosomal RNA". It matches the Rfam family "Bacterial small subunit ribosomal RNA", at positions 527 to 796 of the family's 1533-position model. The record is from RNAcentral.
CGAGGGUGCAAGCGUUAAUCGGAAUUACUGGGCGUAAAGCGAGUGUAGGCGGCUACGUAAGUCGGAUGUGAAAGCCCUGGGCUCAACCUGGGAAUUGCAUUCGAUACUGCGUAGCUAGAGUUUGAUAGAGGUAAGUGGAAUUCCGGGUGUAGCGGUGAAAUGCGUAGAUAUCCGGAGGAACAUCAGUGGCGAAGGCGGCUUACUGGAUCAAAACUGACGCUGAGGCUCGAAAGCGUGGGGAGCAAACAGGAUUAGAUACCCGGGUAGUCC